UGCAAAAGGGAAAAUGCAGCAUGAGCUCCAGAAGUGCCCGGGGAGUUGCUGUGAUGUAUUGUGGGGUUGUUAGUUUCAACAACUUCACUGCAGGCCUUCACUCAACCUGCAGAUCAAGCAUUGGAACAAGGUUUACGGCAGAGAACAGGCACCCAAUGGAGAGACAAGUCUACCAUUAAUGCACCAAAGAUCCAGCUGAUUACUGGCAAUUUGGAGGAGGAUUCUUCUUUAUCUGCUACGUUGCACUGUCACUUCUGGUACAGAUUCAUUGACCUUUUGUAUGUUUUGAUUUUACUUAGUAGUACACUGCCUAUUUAAGGGUUCUAAAUCAAGAAUGUAAUGCUUGUCCACAAAUACUACAAAUAUUGUCAGAACGACAGUAUACAGAGCCGCCAAGGGUCAGGAGAAUAAUGUGGAAAACAAAACUGAAAUGGAAAAUACAAGCUAAAAAACAACAGACCACAACCCCCUCAGCCCAAAAGCUCUCCACCUGUUUCAAAGGUGAAAUCAUGACCUCAUCAUGAUAGUACUGUUAACAGACAAGAUACACAUAUGGAGAAAUAGAAUUUUUAGUUUUUCAACUCCCCCUCUGGGAUCUGAAGAACUGUUUGUGAAUAAUUGGUUGAUAUUGUAAAUUUACAACUCAAUACAUUAAAUAAAGGGGUUUUAGA
Long non-coding RNA from Lampris incognitus (smalleye Pacific opah), 671 nucleotides. RefSeq lists it as uncharacterized. The transcript has 3 exons. NCBI's taxonomy places the organism in Eukaryota, Metazoa, Chordata, Actinopteri, Lampriformes, Lampridae. The record is from RefSeq and is a predicted model, not a curated record.